This 68-nucleotide transfer RNA is filed under the name Goggia microlepidota. RNAcentral describes it as "tRNA-Ala". The record is from RNAcentral. Lineage: Eukaryota; Metazoa; Chordata; Lepidosauria; Squamata; Gekkonidae.
AAGAUCUGCAAAACUUUCAUUUACAUCAACUGAAUGCAACCCAGACACUUUAAUUAAGCUAAGACCUC